This 439-nucleotide ribosomal RNA is filed under the name uncultured soil bacterium. RNAcentral's name for it is "bacterial SSU rRNA". It matches the Rfam family "Bacterial small subunit ribosomal RNA", at positions 947 to 1384 of the family's 1533-position model. The record is from RNAcentral.
GAAUUCGAUUAACGCGAAGAACCUUACCAGGGAUUGACAUGACGGUAGUAGUGAAGCGAAAGCGGAACGACCCUUCGGGGAGCCGUCACAGGUGAUGCAUGGCUGUCGUCAGCUCGUGCCGUGAGGUGUUUGGUUAAGUCCACUAACGAGCGCAACCCCUAGUGCCAGUUACAAGUGUCUGGCGCGACUGCCGGUAUUAAGCCGGAGGAAGGUGGGGAUGACGUCAAGUCAGCAUGUCCUUUAUACCCUGGGCGACACACACGCUACAAUGGCCAGCACAAUGGGUCGCCAAGCCGUGAGGCGGAGCCAAUCCUAAAAAGCUGGUCUCAGUUCGGAUUGCAGGCUGCAACCCGCCUGCAUGAAGUCGGAGUUGCUAGUAACCGCAGGACAGCUAUACUGCGGUGAAUACGUUCCCGGGCCUUGUCACACCGAAUCACUA